CUAUACAUGACUCUGUGCAUAUCAAUAAGCGGAGGAAAAGAAACUAACAAGGAUUCCCCUAGUAACGGCGAGUGAAGCGGGAAGAGCUCAAAUUUGAAAUCUUAAAGGGUUUCCCUUUACGAAUUGUAGUUUAAAGAAGUGUUUUCUGUUGAGGUUUUGGUAAAAGUUCUUUGGAAUAGGACAUCAUAGAGGGUGAGAAUCCCGUAUUUGACCUUUACUUUCAACUUUGUGAUACACUUUCAAAGAGUCGGAUUGUUUGGGAAUGCAGUCCAAAAUGGGUGGUAAAUUUCAUCUAAAGCUAAAUAUUGGCGAGAGACCGAUAGCGAACAAGUACCGUGAGGGAAAGAUGAAAAGAACUUUGAAAAGAGAGUUAAACAGUACGUGAAAUUGUCAAAAGGGAAGCGUUUGACACCAGUGUUGUUUUUCUGAAAAUCAAUUAAAGAACUGUUUAUGCUAAGUUGUUUAGACUUUAUCAGCUAACUGUUUAGUUUUGAGCUUUUCUUUAAUGCACUUUUCAGUUAACAAGUCAACAUCAAUUUCUUUUGCUGUAAAAAAGCUUGAGGAAGGUGGCUUGAGAUUCGUCUUAAGUGUUUAUAGCCUCUUGCCUAUGCAGUCGGAGAGAUUGAGGUCUGCAGCGUAGAUCCUUCGGGGCUAAAUGCAUUUGUGCUAAGUUAUAGCAUUUUAUAGACAACUUGUUGACUAUGAUUUGUCUUGUAGCUUACUCGCUUAUGCUAUUUUACCUACGCUUAGGAUGUUGACAGCAGUAUAGACUGU
RNAcentral lists this ribosomal RNA (774 nucleotides) under uncultured Neocallimastigales. Its description in RNAcentral is "partial large subunit ribosomal RNA". It matches the Rfam family "Eukaryotic large subunit ribosomal RNA", at positions 22 to 637 of the family's 3401-position model. Lineage: Eukaryota; Fungi; Neocallimastigomycota; Neocallimastigomycetes; Neocallimastigales. The record is from RNAcentral.